GACGAACGCUGGCGGCGUGCCUAAUACAUGCAAGUAGGACGCUGAAGGAGGAGCUUGCUUCUCUGGAUGAGUUGCGAACGGGUGAGUAACGCGUAGGUAACCUGCCUGGUAGCGGGGGAUAACUAUUGGAAACGAUAGCUAAUACCGCAUAAUAGUAGAUGUUGCAUGACAUUUGCUUAAAAGGUGCAAUUGCAUCACUACCAGAUGGACCUGCGUUGUAUUAGCUAGUUGGUGGGGUAACGGCUCACCAAGGCGACGAUACAUAGCCGACCUGAGAGGGUGAUCGGCCACACUGGGACUGAGACACGGCCCAGACUCCUACGGGAGGCAGCAGUAGGGAAUCUUCGGCAAUGGACGGAAGUCUGACCGAGCAACGCCGCGUGAGUGAAGAAGGUUUUCGGAUCGUAAAGCUCUGUUGUAAGAGAAGAACGAGUGUGAGAGUGGAAAGUUCACACUGUGACGGUAUCUUACCAGAAGGGGACGGCUAACUACGUG
This 495-nucleotide ribosomal RNA is filed under the name uncultured bacterium. Its description in RNAcentral is "partial 16S ribosomal RNA". It matches the Rfam family "Bacterial small subunit ribosomal RNA", at positions 28 to 507 of the family's 1533-position model. The record is from RNAcentral.